UACGAAGGGUGCAAGCGUUACUCGGAAUUACUGGGCGUAAAGGGUGCGUAGGUGGUCCGUUAAGUUCGUUGUGAAAGCCCUGGGCUCAACCCAGGAACUGCUUCGAAUACUGGCGGACUUGAGGCUAGUAGAGGUCACUGGAACUGACGGUGGAGCGGUGAAAUGCGUAGAUAUCGUCAGGAACGCCAAUGGUGAAGACAGGUGACUGGGCUAGUUCUGACACUGAGGCACGAAAGCGUGGGGAUCAAACGGG
RNAcentral lists this ribosomal RNA (253 nucleotides) under uncultured bacterium. Its description in RNAcentral is "partial 16S ribosomal RNA". It matches the Rfam family "Bacterial small subunit ribosomal RNA", at positions 524 to 776 of the family's 1533-position model. The record is from RNAcentral.